RNAcentral lists this ribosomal RNA (305 nucleotides) under uncultured bacterium. RNAcentral describes it as "bacterial SSU rRNA". It matches the Rfam family "Bacterial small subunit ribosomal RNA", at positions 337 to 656 of the family's 1533-position model. The record is from RNAcentral.
GCCUACGGGACGCAGCAGUGGGGAAUAUUGCACAAUGGGGGGGAACCCUGAUGCAGCAACGCCGCGUGAAGGAAGAAGGCUUUCGGGUUGUAAACUUCUAUCAAUAGGGACGAAAAGAAUGACGGUACCUAAAUAAGAAGCCCCGGCUAACUACGUGCCAGCAGCCGCGGUAAUACGUAGGUGGCGAGCGUUAUCCGGAAUGAUUGGGCGUAAAGGGUGCGUAGGCGGCCUGCUAAGUCUGGAGUGAAAGGUACCGGCUCAACCGGUACAGGCUCUGGAAACUGGCGGGCUAGAGAGCAGGAGCG